This 392-nucleotide ribosomal RNA is filed under the name uncultured bacterium. RNAcentral's name for it is "partial 16S ribosomal RNA". It matches the Rfam family "Bacterial small subunit ribosomal RNA", at positions 523 to 918 of the family's 1533-position model. The record is from RNAcentral.
ACACGUAGGGGCCUGACGUUGUUCGGAAUCAUUGGGCGUAAAGGGCGCGCAGGCGGCCGUCCAAGUCCGGUGUUAAAUGGUCGGGCUCAACCCGAUCAUGCGCUGGAAACUGGGCGGCUUGAGUCCCGUAGGGGAUGCCGGAAUUCCAGGUGUAGGGGUGAAAUCUGUAGUUAUCUGGAAGAACACCGAUGGCGAAGGCAGGCACCUGGCCGGAGACUGACGCUGAGGCGCGAAGGCGCGGGGAGCGAACAGGUUUAGAUACCCUGGUAGUCCGCGCAGUAAACGAUGCGCACCAGGUGUCGGGCGGCAGCGCCCGGUACCGGAGCUAACGCGAUGAGUGCGCCGCCUGGGGAGUAUGCCCGCAAGGGUGAAACUCAAAUGAAUUGGCGGGG